Molecule: ribosomal RNA, 494 nt
Filed under: uncultured bacterium
Lineage: Bacteria
Description: partial 16S ribosomal RNA
Rfam family: Bacterial small subunit ribosomal RNA
Source: RNAcentral
GACGAACGCUGGCGGCGUGCUUAACACAUGCAAGUCGAACGGAAAGGCCUGCUUUCCCUUGUGGAUUGCGGGUACUCGAGUGGCGAACGGGUGAGUAACACGUGAGUGAUCUGCCCCCAACUUGGGUAUAAGCCUGGGAAACUGGGUCUAAUUCCCGAUAGGACUGCAGGGUGGUGCCUGUGGUGGAAAACGAUUUUCUAGUGGUUGGGGAUGAGCUCGCGGCCUAUCAGCUUGUUGGUGGGGUAAUGGCCUACCAAGGCGGGGACGGGUAGCCGGCCUGGGAGGGUGGACGGCCACAUUGGGACUGAGAUACGGCCCAGACUCCUACGGGAGGCAGCAGUGGGGAAUAUUGCACAAUGGGCGGAAGCCUGAUGCAGCGACGCCGCGGGGGGGAUGACGGCCUUCGGGUUGUAAACUCCUUUCGACCGCGAGGAAGCCACCUGGUUGGAAGGGUGGUGACGGUAGUGGUAGAAGAAGCACCGGCUAACUACGUG